Long non-coding RNA from Cavia porcellus (domestic guinea pig), 6838 nucleotides. RefSeq lists it as uncharacterized. The record is from RefSeq and is a predicted model, not a curated record. NCBI's taxonomy places the organism in Eukaryota, Metazoa, Chordata, Mammalia, Rodentia, Caviidae. The transcript is spliced from 2 exons.
AGCCGGGUCGGGCCGUGGAAACGGAGCGUGCUGCGAAGCAGGGGGAGACGGAGCGCAAAACCCGAGGGAGAGUUCUGGGGUUCUCGGUUCAACUCCAGUCACGGAGGGGGCGGCGGCGAGGCAAGGCUGUUGGCGGGCUGAAAGGGCGGCGGGGGCGAGGGGCGGGGAGCCAGGACUGCGGCUCGGGGAACGAGAGUGGGCUGGCCGGGGCGACGGGGAAGAGCUAUUGUGAGGCGCCUGGGGCCUCCGCCGGCGGCGCGCGGCUGGGCCGCCUCCGGCCCACAAGUUCGGGUGCAGCGGUCUGGUUGUCCUGCUGUCCAUGUACAGGCUGAACACUAGAACUGCGGUGUUUGACACUUUUCGGUUGUAUUCCCACUUGGGAGCUAUGCAGAACCUUCGUAGGAAGAAGGAAUUAGAAUAAAGAGCACGGGGAUGAGUAUUAAAAGAUAGUGACUCAACUAGAUUUGGGUUGGAUCAGAACGAGUGGAGGAGGGGGAAUGAACUCGAUUUGGGGUGCCAACAUAUUUAAGGAAGUAUUUGCAUCAGUAGGUGGAGCUCUUGCUUCAGUUGUCGGAAUUGCCCCUGACUCUUUGAGGGGCUCUUGGGUUAUUCUUGUUUGUCUGAAGUCUGUUGGCAAAGUUAAGGUUCGAUCUUUCAGUCUCUGGCUUGGAUAAAAUGAAGGAUUAUUUUGGUUUAACUUUACAUUUGGAUAAAAUGUCAUCAUUAACGUAUAUACUGUUAAAAUACUAGUUACACCGCAUUGUGUAAAAAAGCAGUGCUUUAAAAAGCCAUUUUGCAGUUUGCCUUUAUAGUCUUUGGAGAAUGAAAUGGAAGCUUGUAAGCUUUCUGAGACGCUCGAGGUGGUUUUUUUCUUAUCACGAAUUGAUUAAAGAAUUGUAACUGUGCUUGAAGUUAGUAAAACUAUUCAAACUAUUCAUCAGCUAUUUUGAGAAUGAAGUAAGUCACUUUUUGGAGUGAGCUCUUGAUACCUAAAUAAGAGCUUAAAUAGUAUUUCUAUUUACCUAUAUUUGAAGGCACAUAAAAGAUUAUGAGAAAGUUUAAUUCGGUCUUAGAUCUGUUAAAUGUUUUGUUAUUCUGAUUUUUCUUUAAGUACUGCAUAUUCAUUACAAUGUUGAAUUGCCUAUCUUGAAAAUAUUUGCUGCACUUGAAUAUCGAUCCAGGAAGUUUGACUGUUUCAUAUGUUAUCCAACGUAUUUAGGGAGUCUUCGUUUUCUGAGCUAGGUCUUCGCUAUGCAGUUCAGGCUGGCAUUGGGCUCAUUUUGUAGCCCAGGCUGUUCUCAAACUUGCAAAUGAUUCUCCUGCCUCAAUCUUCCAGGUACUGGGAUUACAGGAGUAUGCCACUAUACCUGGCAUCACCCUCUAUUGGUAUCUCCAGACUAGUAGCUUUGGGGCACAAACACAAAGGAAGAGAAGGACUGCAGAUCUGCGGACCAAAGUUACAGCUCUUAAAAGAUUCAAUGAGACUUUCCCAGAGAGAGAGAUGGCUAUGCAGUAUGAAAGUACUUGGUUUUGCAUGCUAUUACUUUGCUAUAUUUUGUCUAUUAAGCUAACGUGUUAAAGACUUGCCAGAAAUAGCCAUAUAGGUGAGUUUAUCCAGUAGGGUUUCAUUAAAUUACACAGCAGUAAAAUGGUGAUGCUGUACUCUCUGAGAUGACUGGCAGCUUUCAAACACAGAAGCUCCCAUUUGCUUAAUGCAUCUGCUUACUCAGAAAGCAGAAAAUUAUGAACAACAUAAUUCAUAAAAUAUAUUUUAUGACUGUAGUUUUUUGGGAUAUAAUAUUUGCCUACUUUUGUAAGUAUUAAAGAUGUGCAAGUGGUAGUCAAAGUGUUAAUGGUCAUUUCUAUACUAUACAGGUUAUUAGGUCCUUUCUGAGAGAUAUAAUUGUCUUCAGUUUAUUGUAUCUUUUGGGGGAAAGAUAAUUAAUAGUAAUUACUAUUGAAUUGGUAAUCUGUUUCCAGUGGCAUCUUGGCUUAUGAUAUGGGAAGCUGAAAAGACCCUCGUAGGAAAUAGUAGGUGGGUUUAGGGUGCUUAGGCAGUCUUACAGUCCUGGCAGAUCCUUUGGUUCUCCUUCAAGAGUAAAGAUCCAAGACUCAUUUACUCUAGUCUUUGGUUCUUAGCAGGCUAUUGUCAUUUCCUUUGUCUUGGGGGGAACUCCCCCUUUUGGGGGGGGCAGUUACCUGGAAUCAAACUCAGGAUCUCACAUUUGUCAGGGAGGUGCCGCACCUUUGAGCCAAGUCCUGCCUCCAGGGCCACAAGUUUUUGUUCUAUUUAUAAUACCUCUUUGAGAAAGUAGUAUGGGAUAAGUGUAUUCAGAUGUUGAAAUUGUUCGGUGGCUUUACUUUAAACAUGAUGAAAGAGCCAAAAUACAGAAAAUUUAUCUUUUGCUUGUGAAUAUUAACUGUACCACAGUAUAAUCUUGUAGACUAAAACUUCUUUUGGAAUCUGAAACCUUGUGAUGACCGUGCAUUCAUGCCAUGAUAGCACUGUGUUGAUAUGCAUUAUCUAAAAUUUGUCAUUUUCUAAAUUUCUCAAUUUAUUUUUAGUUGACCAGCCUCCACUAGAGUUUUAGAUCUUAAAGUCUCAAUGUUCUGUGUUUUUUUUAUAUCUUAAAAGAGGGAUAUACACUCAGUGCUAGAGUGCAGACCUAGUUUACACGAGACUCUGACUUCAAUCCCCAGUGGUGCUAGAAAAUUUGUUUUCUUUUUACUAAACAGACUAGUCUGUGCUGACAAUAAUUAAUAGUGGGCUGCAUAAAGAGGCCCAAUCAUCUCACUAGUUAAAAUUCCAAAACUGAGCAUAGCAGCACACACUUAAAAUCUCAGCAUACGGAAGGCUGAGGCAGGAGAAUUGCUACUACUUCAAGGCCAGCCUCUCUCCCCCGACCCAAAGCAAGCCACUGAGAAGAAAUGAGAUGGAAAAAAGAAGAAUGAAGUUCAUAAGAUCCUGAAAACCAUAAUCCCAGAGGACAGUCAUCAAAGUGUAAAACUUUUCUCUAAAAGAAGUACAUGAAAAGGUGCUCAGUACUGUUUUUUAUUUAGAGACAUAAAAACCACAAGAUGCCAUUACCCACUUAAUAGAAUAGCAUACAUUUUAAAUGGUGACAAUACCAUUUGUUGGAGAUAAUGUAGAACAACCAGAAUGCUCAUACGCUUAUCGUAUAACCCAGCAUUCUCACUCCUAGUGUUAAGGAUUACUCAAAUUGUGUAUGCUCACCACAUUCCAAAAACCAAGGGAGACUUGAUGAAAAGGAAAAACAACUUUAUUUAAAGCUAGUUCCUUGGGGCUGGGGAUUUAGCUCAGUGGCAUAAGUGCCUGCCUUGCAAGCAGGCAGUCGUGAGUUCGAUCCCUGGUACCGAUAAAAACGAAAAAGACAAAAAAAUUAAAAAAAAAAAUAAAGCUAGUUCCAAGGAGACAGAGAGCUUCGUAUCAUCUCAAAUCACUAUCUCACUUGUGUUUUGGUGUGCAAGGGAUUUACAGUAAGGAACAGAGGGGUGAAGAAAUCCAGUGAGAUUAAUAGAUGUCUCCAGGCUUGUUUCAAAAUCAUCUUUCUGAGGGGCUGGGGAUUUAGCUCAGCGGCAUAAGCGCUUGCUUUUCAAGCAGGCAGUUGUGAGUUCGAUCCCUGGUACCGAUAAAAACGAAAAAAGACAAAAAAAAAAAUCAUCUUUCUGGACCCCUUUUCCCUGUGUAAACAAAGUCAGACCCUGACCUCCUGGGGCCAGAAUCUACAUAUUCUGUCUUUUUCUCCUGGGAAGCAGUUUAUGUCCUCUACAAGAGGUACUUUUAUCUUUUUUUUUUUUUUUUUUUGGUGCCGGGGAAUUUAACUUACAACCAUAGGUUUCCCAGGGAGGUGCUUAUGCCACUGAGCUAUAUCCCCAGCCCCUUAGGAGGAACUUUGGUUAGCAACUUGUUUUGUUUUGUUUAGACAGGGUUUUGCUGUAUAGUGUAGACUGGUCUUGAACUUGCUUAUAUUGCUCAGGCUGGCCUUGAACUCACAGGAGAUCCUCUGUCUCCUCCAGAGUGCUGGGAUUACAGGUGUGUGCUACUACACCUGGCCACACCUUGUUUCUCUUUUCUUUUUCUUAUUUUAUUUUAUUUUUUACCAGUACCAGGGAUCGAACUCACAACUGCCUGCUUGCAAGGCAGGCGCUUAUGCCACUGAGCUAAAUCCCCAGCCCCUUGCAAAUUGUUUCUAAAAGAAAAAAAUUUAACUUUUAAAGAUCUAUUUUGUCCUCGCUGCCACACUAGGUAUUUAUUAAAAGAAAUAAAAACUUAAGUUCACACAAAAAUCUGUAUGCAAAUGCUUAUAGUAAUUUCAUUAUAUAAUUUUUUUCAACUAGAGGAUAGGGCUAGGAGUGUAGUUCUAUAUGUGUGAGUCCCUGGGUUCUACCACUAACACAAAAAUAACAUUUAAAAAAAAAAAACCCCACACUGUGCCUAUACAAAUGAAUACUACUUAAAGUAACAAGAAAUGAACUCUGUGUUGAUACAACAGCAUGGCAAGUCUUACAGGCAUUAUGUUGAAUCAAAAGCCAGUCACUAUUAUGUGAUGAAAUUCUUGACAUGACAAAACUAUGAGGGGCUGGGGAUUUAGCUCAGCGGCAUAAGCGCCUGCCUUGCAAGCAGGCAGUCAUGAGUUUGAUCCCCAGUACUGAUUUUAAAAAAAAGGAAAAAGACAAAAAAAACUAUAGGGAACAGAAAAGAGAUUAGUAGUUGUCUGGAAGUAGUAGAAUUGAACUGCAAAAUGUUGUGGAAAAAUUUCUUGGGGUUGUAGAACUGUUGUAUGCUGAUAACAUGACUGCAUAAUUGCAUAUUUCUAUAAUGGUGAUUAAUGAUAAUAGGGUAUUCGGUAAAGCUUAUGGAACUAUAUACACAAAAAAUGGACUUAAAGUUAGAAUACUAUGGAAAAUUCCACCCCACCCCACCCCCAAAAAAAACCUGGUAAGUGAAGAAUAACUUAAUUGUUGAUACAGACUGAAAAUUGCUAACUGGUACACUUAAUUUGGCCAAAUCAUUACUGACACUAAAUUUGACUAAAUACUUGAAUUGUCGUGCUAAAUAAAUAGGACUCAAGUAUAAGUUGUUAAUAAGAGACAUGUUCUAUUUGCUGUUUAUUUACUUAUUGAAGAGAUGGGAUCCCAGCAUGUUGUCCAGGUCGGUCCCAAACUCCUGGACUCAAAUAGUUCUAUUCAGCCUCUUAAAUAGCUGGUACUACAGGAUAGCACCACCAUCCUGGUUACACUUAGAGGAUACCGAGAAGUUAUAUUCAAAAAAUAAAAAAGGUUAAAGAUGCACUGAUUAUAAAAAAGGUGUAUGUGUCUGUAUGAUGGACUAAGUUAAGAUGAAUAUCAGUAACUGAUUAUAUGACAUGUGUGUGUCUGUGUGAUGGACUAAGUUAAAAUGAAUAUUGAUAGCAAAAGGGAGGGAAAUUUGAGCCAGGAAUGUAGCUCAGCGGCACAGCACCUACCAACCAAGCCUGAGAUCAUAAAUUCAGUCCCUAGUACAAGGGGGGGGGGGAUUUCAAAAUUGAAUCAAAUUACAAAUUCUUCAUAUCAGCCCUUAAUACUUGUACACUCACUCUAUUAACAGCUUGAAAAUAUGUGAAGCAAAAAGGACCAUUUCCAAACUUUCUUUGAAGGCAACAUAAGAAAGCCUGACAAAAAAAUUAUAAAAGGAAGAAAAGCAGAUGUGUUCGUAAAUCACUUUGAUAAAGACAGAAGAUAAGACUAUGCAGCCAAGGAUGGAGAGGCCAUCAACAAAAAACUACAUAAGAAACAUACUGUGCAGAGAGGUGAUCAGAAAUUGAGUUUUUGCUGGAGAUUCAGCUCAGUGGCAUAAGCGCCUGCCUGGCAAGUGUGAAGUCGUGAGUUAAUCCCCAGCACCACAAAAAAAAAAAAAAGAAAAGAAAUUGAGUUUUUAGUAUGUUUACCUUGAGUUUUCUAUUAGAGAUACUUCAGAUACAAGAGUUUGGCCUUCUGAAUGAACUUUAGGUUAGAGUCAGAAAUUUGGAAGUGGCAAUGUUAAAGUCUUAAGAUUGUGAGAUAAAAUGAUGUCACUAAAGGUAAAAGAACUCUUAAAAUUAGUUCUCAAACUCUUAACUUCCUAUGUUUACACUCAAGUACAUUUGAUAUUUGGCCUUAUUUAGCAAAGAUAGCUUUGAAAACACAUGAUUGCUACUUGGUUGAUGCUUUCCUUCUCAGAGAGUAUUUCCUCCCCACAGAACAAACUCCUGGUCAUCCUGUAAAACCUUCCCCAGAAUCAUCUCUAUUCUAGUACUAUUUUAGUAUGUGGUAUACACAUGCUGUUACUAGCACGUUAUACAGAGUAUGUGUGCAUUUUAGAUCAGGUAUUCAAAUAUUUUUAUUGAAAGAAAUGAUGUAUGCUUUGAGUAGGGAUCUCAUAAAAACUGCAGAAAAAUUUAAGAGUUACAGAGUACUUUUUUGGUUUUUGAACUUGAAAUUCUCCUGUCUCAACCUGUCAAGUUCAGAGAUUACAGGUGUAUGCCACCAUACCCAGCUAGAUUUACAGAAUUUUUAAAAAAAUAGAUUGUCUUUUCUGAUAUUUUUGAUGAUUUUGCUUUUUUGAAACAGGAUCUCCUUAUGUGUUCACGGUGGUCUCAAACUCAGUAGCUAUCAGGGAUCUGGCCAAGAUCCCCAACUGUCUGUUUGAGGGGUACAGCGAAGGAUAAAAUAAGAAACAGAGGGGCUGGGGAUUUAGCUCAGCAGCAUAAGCGCCUGCCUUGUAAGCAGGCAGUCGUGAGUUCAAUCCCUGGUACUGAUAAAAACGAAAAAGACAAAAAAAAAAAAAAAAAAAAAGAAA